Non-coding RNA from Phrynosoma platyrhinos (Desert horned lizard), 72 nucleotides. Lineage: Eukaryota; Metazoa; Chordata; Lepidosauria; Squamata; Phrynosomatidae. The record is from the annotation of a GenBank genome assembly.
ACCAGGGUGGCUUAGUGGGUUGAGUGUUGGACUGCGACUCUGGAGGCCAGGGUUCAAUUCCCAACGCGGCUA